CAGAGUUGCAAAACUCCCAACCAUUGUGAACCUACCUCACCGUUGCUUCGGCGGGUGGCCCGGGGCAACCCAGGCCACGCCGGCUCCCCUCUCCGGGGGCCCGGCAAGCCCGUCAGAGGACCGAAACCCUGUAAUUACUGGCCUCUCUGAGUAACUUAUACAAUAAGUCA
Molecule: unclassified non-coding RNA, 170 nt
Filed under: soil metagenome
Description: partial internal transcribed spacer 1
Source: RNAcentral